Molecule: long non-coding RNA, 1266 nt
Filed under: Rhinopithecus bieti (black snub-nosed monkey)
Lineage: Eukaryota; Metazoa; Chordata; Mammalia; Primates; Cercopithecidae
Description: lncRNA (ENSRBIG00000046126.1)
Source: RNAcentral
GCUUGAAGCCAGGAGGCAGAGGUUGCAGUGAGCUGAGACUGCACCACUGUACUCCAGCUUGGGUGAGAGAGUGAGACUCUAUCAGAAAAAAAAAAAGAAGAAGGAAUGAAAAUCGGCUAUCAAUCAUUUCUGAUUGAGAAGAAGCUGUCAUUGGGAAUAAAGAAUUCAGGAAUUAUUUCUGCACUUCUGUUUUUGAAACAGCCUGGAUGCAGUUGCUAUUUAUACCAAGGCAGAAACCCUGAAGAUGAGUUGAAUGGGAGGUGAUGCUGGGGGUGAAUGUGCUGAGUGGAGGCUCCUGCUAGAUGUAGAGCUGAGAUGCCUACAGUUUCUAUUUGCCUCCAACAAGACAGAAGGCUCAAGCCUGGGUUCCGUUAGCGGAGACUAAGUACCAGGUUCCGCCAACCCAGGAACAGAGCAGGCCCUGCAGGCACAGCGAGAGGACAGACUCCCGGGAGAGAACGCAGGAGGAAAAAGGGAGAAAGUAACACUUCCCACUGAAACUACCAGAAACAUCCAGAAAAUGAAGCAGAAAAAUGCAGCCCAGGGAUCAGAAAAGGCCUCAGUCCGGUCAAUUAAACCUUGGAGUGACCAGGAAAUCCAGAGUUUCCUGCAAGAAUGGGAAUUUCUUGAACGUGAAGUGUACAGGGUGAAGAAGAAGUAUCACGUAGUAUCAAAAACAAUUGCCCAGCGUCUCAAGCAGAGAGGUAUGAAGAAGAGCUGGCAGGAAUGUCUCCAGAUGCUAAUAAGCUUGCAGGACUUAUACUUCACUAUUCAGGAGGCCAACCAGAGACCAAGGUGCCUACCCUUGCCGUGUCCUUAUGGCGAGGCCCUGCACAGGAUUCUGGGAUACAGAUGGAAAAUCAGCGUCUUCUCAGGUCCUCCCUGUGCAGAUGCGGUUGACCUUGCACCUCCCGAGCACCAGCCCCAGGCCUGUGGCGUUCCCAUAGCCGUUCAGGAGCCGACGUGGGCCCCGACACCUGUGAUAUAUGUGGAAAAUCCUCCAGUACCCGAAUGGGAGCCCUGGAACACGAAUGGUCAUGCUCCAUAUAUGUAUCCUGCUUUUCCCCUAGCAUCCGCCCCAGGCCCCCUACCACAGUGGGCCAUCUCUACUGACUAAUCCAGAUCUUGAAGACAAUUAGAAUCUGGAUCCUGAUUCUUCAGAAAGACUGAAAAGUAGCACAAUCUGUGUGUGUUAGCGCAUGACUCCUUCCUCUCCUCACCUGGUGCAAUGAGAAUAAAUGUGAAAUAAAUGAACGACCGUGACCU